GCAUAUCAAUAAGCGGAGGAAAAGAAACCAACAGGGAUUGCCCUAGUAACGGCGAGUGAAGCGGCAACAGCUCAAAUUUGAAAUCUGGCUUCGGCCCGAGUUGUAAUUUGCAGAGGAAGCUUUAGGCGCGGCACCUUCUGAGUCCCCUGGAACGGGGCGCCAUAGAGGGUGAGAGCCCCGUAUAGUUGGAUGCCUAGCCUGUGUAAAGCUCCUUCGACGAGUCGAGUAGUUUGGGAAUGCUGCUCAAAAUGGGAGGUAAAUUUCUUCUAAAGCUAAAUACCGGCCAGAGACCGAUAGCGCACAAGUAGAGUGAUCGAAAGAUGAAAAGCACUUUGAAAAGAGGGUUAAAUAGCACGUGAAAUUGUUGAAAGGGAAGCGCUUGUGACCAGACUUGCGCCGGGCGGAUCAUCCGGUGUUCUCACCGGUGCACUCCGCCCGGCUCAGGCCAGCAUCGGUUCUCGCGGGGGGAUAAAGGCCCUGGGAACGUAGCUCCUCCGGGAGUGUUAUAGCCCGGGGCGCAAUGCCCUCGCGGGGACCGAGGACCGCGCAUCUGCAAGGAUG
This 561-nucleotide ribosomal RNA is filed under the name Arxotrichum sinense. RNAcentral's name for it is "Arxotrichum sp. XWW-2019e partial 28S ribosomal RNA". It matches the Rfam family "Eukaryotic large subunit ribosomal RNA", at positions 38 to 625 of the family's 3401-position model. Lineage: Eukaryota; Fungi; Ascomycota; Sordariomycetes; Sordariales; Chaetomiaceae. The record is from RNAcentral.